AGUUAAGCUACUAAGGGCGAUCGGUGAAUGCCUUGGCAUCAGGAGGCGAUGAAGGACGUAGUUAACUGCGAUAAGCUUCGGAUUGGUGUUAAAAACUUAACCGGAGAUUUCCGAAUGGGGCAACCCCCAUGGCGUAAUGGCCAUGGAUCCGUAACUGAAUUCAUAGGUUGCGGAGGCUAAACUUGGGGAACUGAAACAUCUUAGUACCCAGGGAAAAGAAAGAAAACUCGAUUCCCCCAGUAGCGGCGAGCGAAAAGGGACAAGCCCAAACCGGCUGACUUGUCAGCCGGGGUUGUAGGACCGUUUAGAGUUUACAGCUCGAAACGAGAGAUUGUAUAGUGGAAACGCGAUGGAACGAUCUGCCAUAGAAGGUGAAAGCCCUGUACGCGAAAUGCAUAUCUCAAGUUUUGGAACGGCACCUGAGUAGCGCGGGACACGAGAAACCCUGCGUGAAUCUGGGAGGACCAUCUCCCAAGGCUAAAUACUACCUGAUGACCGAUAGUGAACCAGUACCGUGAGGGAAAGGUGAAAAGUACCCCGAAAGGGAAGUGAAAUAGUACCUGAAACCGAUUGUCUACAAGCUGUGGAAGGCCUCUCAAUAGGCCAACUGCGUGCCUUUUGCAUAAUGAGUCCGCGAGUUACCGUCAGUGGCAAGGUUAAGCCGUUAGGUGGAGCCGUAGCGAAAGCGAGUCUUAAAUGGGCGAAAUUAGUUGCUGGUGGUAGACCCGAAACCAGGUGAUCUACCCAUGGCCAGGCUGAAGUUCCGGUAAAACGGAAUGGAGGGCCCAACCGGUUGAAGUUGAAAAUUCUUCGGAUGAGCUGUGGGUAGGAGUGAAAGGCUAAUCAAACCUGGAAAUAGCUGGUUCUCCUCGAAAUGUAUUUUGGUACAGCCUCGGAUGUUUUGUUACGGAGGUAAAGCACUGAAUGGGUUAGGGGUCUUACAAGGUUACCAACCCCAAUCAAACUCUGAAUGCCGUAACAUGAAGUCCGGGAGUGAGUCUCAGGGAGAUAAGUUCCUGGGGCAAAAGGGAAACACCCCAGACCAUCGACUAAGGCCCCCAAGUGUGUGCUAAGUGGCAAAGGAUGUGAAAACGCACAGACAACCAGGAGGUUGGCUUAGAAGCAGCCAUCCUUUAAAGAUAGCGUAACAGCUCACUGGUCCAGUGAGUUUGCGCCGAAAAAUAU
This 1185-nucleotide ribosomal RNA is filed under the name Deltaproteobacteria bacterium. RNAcentral describes it as "partial 23S ribosomal RNA". It matches the Rfam family "Bacterial large subunit ribosomal RNA", at positions 1 to 1174 of the family's 2925-position model. Lineage: Bacteria; Pseudomonadati; Myxococcota; Myxococcia. The record is from RNAcentral.